AUGGCUCAGAUUGAACGCUGGCGGCAUGCCUUACACAUGCAAGUCGAACGGUAACGGACCUUCGGGUGCCGACGAGUGGCGAACGGGUGAGUAAUGCAUCGGAACGUACCUUUCAGUGGGGGAUAACGUAGCGAAAGUUACGCUAAUACCGCAUAUUCUGUGAGCAGGAAAGCAGGGGAUCGCAAGACCUUGCGCUGAUUGAGCGGCCGAUGUCAGAUUAGCUAGUUGGUGAGGUAAAGGCUCACCAAGGCGACGAUCUGUAGCGGGUCUGAGAGGAUGAUCCGCCACACUGGAACUGAGACACGGUCCAGACUCCUACGGGAGGCAGCAGUGGGGAAUUUUGGACAAUGGGGCAACCCUGAUCCAGCCAUGCCGCGUGAGUGAAGAAGGCCUUCGGGUUGUAAAGCUCUUUCGGCCGGGAAGAAAUCGCAUGGGUUAAUACCCUGUGCGGAUGACGGUACCGGCAUAAGAAGCACCGGCUAACUACGUG
RNAcentral lists this ribosomal RNA (490 nucleotides) under uncultured bacterium. RNAcentral's name for it is "bacterial SSU rRNA". It matches the Rfam family "Bacterial small subunit ribosomal RNA", at positions 19 to 507 of the family's 1533-position model. The record is from RNAcentral.